AGAGUUUGAUCCUGGCUCAGAUUGAACGCUGGCGGCAUGCCUUACACAUGCAAGUCGAACGGCAGCACGAGAGCUUGCUCUUGGUGGCGAGUGGCGAACGGGUGAGUAAUAUAUCGGAACGUACCCUAGAGUGGGGGAUAACGUAGCGAAAGUUACGCUAAUACCGCAUACGAUCUACGGAUGAAAGUGGGGGAUCGCAAGACCUCAUGCUCAUGGAGCGGCCGAUAUCUGAUUAGCUAGUUGGUGGGGUAAAAGCUCACCAAGGCGACGAUCAGUAGCUGGUCUGAGAGGACGACCAGCCACACUGGAACUGAGACACGGUCCAGACUCCUACGGGAGGCAGCAGUGGGGAAUUUUGGACAAUGGGCGCAAGCCUGAUCCAGCAAUGCCGCGUGAGUGAAGAAGGCCUUCGGGUUGUAAAGCUCUUUUGUCAGGGAAGAAACGGUGGACUCUAAUACAGAUCACUAAUGACGGUACCUGAAGAAUAAGCACCGGCUAACUACGUGCCAGCAGCCGCGGUAAUACGUAGGGCGCAAGCGUUAAUCGGAAUUACUGGGCGUAAAGCGUGCGCAGGCGGUUGUGCAAGACAGAUGUGAAAUCCCCGGGCUCAACCUGGGAAUUGCAUUUGUGACUGCACGGCUAGAGUGUGUCAGAGGGGGGUAGAAUUCCACGUGUAGCAGUGAAAUGCGUAGAGAUGUGGAGGAAUACCGAUGGCGAAGGCAGCCCCCUGGGAUAACACUGACGCUCAUGCACGAAAGCGUGGGGAGCAAACAGGAUUAGAUACCCUGGUAGUCCACGCCCUAAACGAUGUCUACUAGUUGUCGGGUCUUAAUUGACUUGGUAACGCAGCUAACGCGUGAAGUAGACCGCCUGGGGAGUACGGUCGCAAGAUUAAAACUCAAAGGAAUUGACGGGGACCCGCACAAGCGGUGGAUGAUGUGGAUUAAUUCGAUGCAACGCGAAAAACCUUACCUACCCUUGACAUGUCUGGAAUCCUUGAGAGAUCAGGGAGUGCUCGAAAGAGAAUCAGAACACAGGUGCUGCAUGGCUGUCGUCAGCUCGUGUCGUGAGAUGUUGGGUUAAGUCCCGCAACGAGCGCAACCCUUGUCAUUAGUUGCUACGAAAGGGCACUCUAAUGAGACUGCCGGUGACAAACCGGAGGAAGGUGGGGAUGACGUCAAGUCCUCAUGGCCCUUAUGGGUAGGGCUUCACACGUCAUACAAUGGUACAUACAGAGGGCCGCCAACCCGCGAGGGGGAGCUAAUCCCAGAAAGUGUAUCGUAGUCCGGAUUGUAGUCUGCAACUCGACUACAUGAAGUUGGAAUCGCUAGUAAUCGCGGAUCAGCAUGUCGCGGUGAAUACGUUCCCGGGUCUUGUACACACCGCCCGUCACACCAUGGGAGCGGGUUUCACCAGAAGUGGGUAGCCUAACCGCAAGGAGGGCGCUCACCACGGUGGGAUUCGUGACUGGGGUGAAGUCGUAACAAGGUA
RNAcentral lists this ribosomal RNA (1491 nucleotides) under metagenome. Its description in RNAcentral is "bacterial SSU rRNA". It matches the Rfam family "Bacterial small subunit ribosomal RNA". The record is from RNAcentral.